Molecule: ribosomal RNA, 1475 nt
Filed under: Draparnaldia plumosa
Lineage: Eukaryota; Viridiplantae; Chlorophyta; Chlorophyceae; Chaetophorales; Chaetophoraceae
Description: eukaryotic LSU rRNA
Rfam family: Eukaryotic large subunit ribosomal RNA
Source: RNAcentral
UCGACCUGAGCUCAGGCAAGAUUACCCGCUGAACUUAAGCAUAUCAAUAAGCGGAGGAAAAGAAACUAACAAGGAUUCCCCUAGUAACGGCGAGCGAACCGGGAAUAGCCCAACUUGGAAAUCUCCCUCGGAGAAUUGUAGUCUAUAGAAGCGCCCUCUGCAGCGGCCGGGUCCCAAGUCCCCUGGAAGGGGGCGUCGUAGAGGGUGAGAACCCCGUCGGACCUUGGUGCGGCUGCCUCACGAGGUGCUUUCGAAGAGUCGGGUUGUUUGGGAAUGCAGCCCAAAGCUGGUGGUAAAUCCCAUCUAAGGCUAAAUAUUGGCGAGAGACCGAUAGCGAACAAGUACCGCGAGGGAAAGAUGAAAAGAACUUUGAAAAGAGAGUUAAAAAGUGCUUGAAAUUGUUGAGGGGGAAGCGAUUGGCAGCUGCGUGUGCACCCAGGCUUACGCCGCUCUAACGAUCGGCUGCAUGCGCUGGGUGUUGGUCAGCAUGGGUUGGCUUGGCAGGAUAAACGCGGGGGUUGUUACUCCGUCUAUGCUGCCGGGCCGACCGAGGCGUGAAGGCCGCUCUUGUCCCUCGGGAUCUGCGGCCUCGAGAUGCUGGCGGAAGGCUUUCAAUCGGCCCGUCUUGAAACACGGACCAAGGAGUCUAACAUGUAUGCGAGCUGGUGGGUGGUAAACCCAUGAGGCGCAAGUAACCUGACUUUGGUGGGAUGGCCGCAAGGCCUGCACCAUCGACCGACCGUGAUCUUCUGUGAAAGGUUCGAGUACGAGCAUACCUGUUGGGACCCGAAAGAUGGUGAACUAUGCCUGAGCAGGGCGAAGCCAGAGGAAACUCUGGUGGAGGCUCGUAGAUGUGCUGACGUGCAAAUCGCUUUUCGGACUUGGGUAUAGGGGCGAAAGACUAAUCGAACCAUCUAGUAGCUGGUUCCCUCCGAAGUUUCCCCCAGGAUAGCUGGAGCUUGUGUGUCAGUUUUAUCGGGUAAAGCUAAUGAUUAGAGGUUCGGGGGAUGAAACAUCUUCCACCUAUUCUCAAACUUUAAAUAGGUAAGACGUGUGAGUUGCUUAACUGAACUCACGCAUUCAAUGAGAGCUCCAAGUGGGCCAUUUUUGGUAAGCAGAACUGGCGAUGCGGGAUGAACCGAUAGUUGGGUUAAGGUGCCGGACUACGCGCUAACCUAGAUCCCACAAAGGGUGUUGAUUGAUACAGACAGCAGGACGGUGGUCAUGGAAGUCGAAAUCCGCUAAGGAGUGUGUAACAACUCACCUGCCGAAUCAAUUAGCCCCGAAAAUGGAUGGCGCUGAAGCGCGUGACCUAUACCCGGCCAUGGGGGCAAGUGCGAGGCUCCCAUGAGUAGGAGGGCGUGGGUGUCGCUGCGCAGCCUGGGGCGUGAGCCCGGGUGAAGCGGCACCUAGUGCAGAUCUUGGUGGUAGUAGCAAAUAUUCAAAUGAGAACUUUGAAGACUGAAGGGGAGAAA